UGUUUGUUUGUUCUGUUCCAACACAAAGCAGAGCCUACUUCAUCUAUACAGACUCAAGGCUCAUCCUGUCCUUUCCCUGCUCCAGCUAUGGAAUCUACCAUAUCUCCAAAGAAUCCUGGAAGAGCCUCUCCUGAGACAAAAUCAUAUAUCAGAAAACUAAUAAGACAGGAAAUUUAAGUACACGUUGAAAGAAAAAGAUACUUUGUUACACGAAGCUGAAGUCAGUGAAACUUGUAACAAGGCAGGCUCAAACAGAGGUACCAACUACAGGUAUUUUAUUUUUAUUUAAUAACAAUAAUGUUUCACUGAUUUCCUUGAGUUCUCAAAGAUCUAAGUAAAUUUUAGUAUGCAAUCCUAUCUUAAAGCUAGGAACCUACAAGAAACAACCAAAUAUCAACCCCAAACAGUGACAAAGUGAUUAUUAGUAGGGCCAAGCUAGGGGGGUGGGAAGGGGAAGCCAUGGUAGCCUACUGCAGGUGUUAAUGCCUGACCUGGGUUACAAUGGGUUCACAUGGGGCUGUUGGUAGCCUGGUCCAGUACUGAGGAGAGUAUCUGUGCAGGAGGGUGGCCUGGUGCAGGCUGGCGAAGCACAGGCAGGGUAAAGAGGGUAUCUCCACAAAGGCAUGGUCUGGCUUCAGGUGAGGAAGGAAUCUGUCUGGGGUCGGGCAGAGGCUAGCGGGUGGGAAGGAUGAGAUGGAGAGGCACCUGGCACAAAGCGUCAGAGCAGAGCUCAGUAAAAGGGACUCCAUGACGAAGAGCAACCUGGCACGGAUGUCAGAGCCCAGACAAGGUAAAAGAAGUGUCAAUGCUGGGUGCGGCGCCAUGUGGUGGCCUGGUGUGUAGUGUUGAGUCCGAGCUGGGGAAAAAGAACAUUUCUGCAAUGGAA
This 886-nucleotide long non-coding RNA is filed under the name Homo sapiens (human). RNAcentral describes it as "HSALNT0317159". Lineage: Eukaryota; Metazoa; Chordata; Mammalia; Primates; Hominidae. The record is from RNAcentral.